CUGAUCAUCUGAUCAAUAAUUUACAACUCUACAACAAGUUAUGAAGAGGCAUAAAUCAUUAAUGUACCUCAUUGUUAUUGCCACUGAUAAUCUCAUGAAAUAUUGUUGUUUGACUUUUAUUUUACAAUAUGAAUAAUCAUUGCGAUAUGUUGCUUUUAUUAUCAUUAUUAUUACUUCAAAUUUGCACGGUAUAUCUAUAAUUGUUGUACUAAUAUAUGUAUAUGUAUGUAUGUAUUUGUAACGAACUGAUACAAAUAAUGUGACAACGAUGCGUGCGUUUAUAUAACGGUGAGCAUUGAAAGUAUCAUCAUUGAAACGUCGGCAGUCUUUCGGACAACACUAUUAAUUAUUUUAAAAAUGAAAGGAUUCAUUGCUAUUUUCGUUGUUAUUCUCGCUUCUGCAUAUCUUCAAGUUUCAGCUGGACAAGAAAUGUGCCCACCCUGAAGAAAUUGUCUUAAAGAAGCUGAAGCAUGCG
Molecule: long non-coding RNA, 475 nt
Organism: Cotesia glomerata
Lineage: Eukaryota; Metazoa; Arthropoda; Insecta; Hymenoptera; Braconidae
Exons: 3
Source: RefSeq, a predicted model, not a curated record